This 227-nucleotide ribosomal RNA is filed under the name uncultured bacterium. RNAcentral's name for it is "partial 16S ribosomal RNA". It matches the Rfam family "Bacterial small subunit ribosomal RNA", at positions 109 to 334 of the family's 1533-position model. The record is from RNAcentral.
AGUAACACGUGGUCAACCUUCCCUACAGUGGGGGAUAACUAGCCGAAAGGUCAGCUAAUACCGCAUAACAUCUACGAGUGGCAUCAUUUGUAGAUCAAAGGAGCAAUCCGCUGAAGGACGGGACCGCGUCCCAUUAGUUAGUUGGUGGGGUAAUGGCCUACCAAGACUCCGAUGGGUAGCUGGUUUGAGAGAGCGACCAGCCACACUGGGACUGAGAAACGGCCCAG